Molecule: long non-coding RNA, 7036 nt
Organism: Salvelinus fontinalis (brook trout)
Lineage: Eukaryota; Metazoa; Chordata; Actinopteri; Salmoniformes; Salmonidae
Exons: 4
Source: RefSeq, a predicted model, not a curated record
UCUCACCUCCCUCUAUUAAAAUUCUACUCCUUGCUCAGCCCCGUCUCUGAGAGUGGGUUAGCCAAGCGUGUCACAGUGAGAACCAGUGAAUGUUAAUGAACUGUGUGUGUGUCAGGGAAAGAGGGAGUAUUCUGUGAAUAUGAGACAUUUCUGCUCUUUGAGGGCAGAGCGAGCGGAGAGAGGAAGAGUGGAGAGAGGGAGUAGAGCAGAGAGAGGGAGGAGAGCAGAGAGAGGGAGAACGGAGAGAGGGGGAGAGCGGUGCGAGGGAGGAGAGCGGAGAGAGGGAGGAGAGCGGAGAGAGGGAGGAGAGCGGAGAGAGGGAGGAGAACGGAGAGAGGGAGGAGAGCGGCGAAAGGGAGGAGAGCGGAGAGUGGGAGGAGAGUGGAGAGAGAGAGUACAGCGGGGAGCGGGUGGAGCGGAGAGAGGGAGGAGAGCGGAGAGAGAGAGUACAGCGGAGAGCGGGUGGAGCUGAGAGAGGGAGGAGAAUGGAGAGCAGGAGGAGAGCGGAGAGGGCGGAGAGCGGGAGGAGAGUGGAGAGAGAGAGUACAGCGGAGAGCGGGUGGAGCUGAGAGAGGGAGGAGAAUGGAGAGCAGGAGGAGAGCGGAGAGCGGGAGGAGAGCGGAGAGAGGGAGGAGAGCAGAGAGAGGGAGGAGAGCGGAGAGCGGAAGGAGAGUGGAGAGAGGGAGGAGAGCGGAGAGCGGGAGGAGAGUGGAGAGAGGGAGGAGAGCGGAGAGCGGGAGGAGAGUGGAAGGAGAGCCGAGAGCAGAGAGAGCCCCCACGGCAUUCUAACCCACACACUCUGUGUCACCACCGUGGUGAAGAAAAUGAUCAGCCAACAAGCUGGAAGAGGUAGAGGAGAGGAAAAAGAGUGGAGAAAGAGAGGGAGAGUGAGCUCUGUCCACUCAAGACACUCCAGAAGUUCCAGUUUCCUCGAUGGAUUAUCCAGAGCCCCACGGACGGAGGGAGGAGUGGAGGAGAAAAGAAAAAGACGAAUAGAGCAGAGAGAACAGAGAAGAAAGGAAUUGCACUCCGGACAGCCAGUCCGCGUGACGGCCCUGCAGGCUGUGUUUGGGACUCUGGCUAAUUGUGGAGUAUUCUCAGGACUCCAGCAGAGGAACGAGAGAGACCCGCUCUAUCUUUCUUUUCAUUCUAAUUAAUUCCCCUCUGUGCAGACACUCAAAGAGAUUUUCUCUCCUUCCUUCGCUCUCUCCCUCCUUCUCUCCAUCCGGCGACUUGAGAGCAGAAUAAUUGGGAGUGGAGAUUGGCUUUUCUGUGCCUCUGCCAGAGGAGUGAGAUCUCCCAAUCCUUCACACACCUGGUUGUGUGCGAGUGUGUGCGUGGAUGAGUGUGUGUGGAAUCUCUGACUUAUCCCUAGGGGCUUUGGGAGGGGGUGUACCACACUAGUGUGAACUGGACGUGCAUGACAGAAACAUGAGAAAAGGAAAGAGGGAGUGAGAGAAAAACGUAGUACAGAGCACUAAUCAGGUAGAAGUAUUUCCCUGAGGAGGGAUGUGAGGGGAGAAAAGAAGGAAAGUACUGCUUUCACUUGAAGCCCAACCAGUGAUGUGGAUGGACAGAGUGAGCAAAUAAACGACAAGACAGAAGAGGAGAGAAGAGACGAGGAGAAAAGACAUCGGCCCUUUCACAACAUCAGCAAGUCACCCAGACUGAGAAGAAUGCACAAGACAGAAGUGAAUUGACGAACAAACAAAUUGUCAUACUGUCAGUCCCCUCAACCUCUUAGUUUUCUGGUCUGUCUCUCUCUUAGGGCAAAGUGCCAAAUACACACACACACACACACACACACACACACACACACACACACACACACACACACACACACACACACACACACACACACACACACACACACACACACACACACACACACACACACACACACACACACACACACACACACACACACACGCAGAGAGAGACACAAAAGAACAGAAUGAGAGAAACCUGGCUUCGUCUGGGACCUUUUUUCAGGAUUUGUUGUUUUUAGCACCCAUUUAUUGUUUCCCUCUCUGCCCUCUUCACUCUCCUCAAUCUCUCCUCUCCUCAAUCUCUCCUCCAUCUCUCCAUCUCUCCUCUCCUCAAUCUCUCCUCUCCUCCAUCUCUCUCCUACUCCAUCUCUCCUCAAUCUCUCCUCUCCUCAAUCUCUCCUCUCCUCCAUCUCUCUCCUACUCCAUCUCUCCUCAUUCUCUCCUCUCCUCAAUCUCUCCUCCAUCUCUCCAUCUCUCCUCUCCUCAAUCUCUCCUCACCUCCAUCUCUCCUCCAUCUCUCCAUCUCUCCUCCAUCUCUCCAUCUCUCCUCCAUCUCUCCUCUCCUCCAUCUCUCCUAUCUUCCAUCUCUCCUAUCUUCCAUCUCUCCUCCAUCUCUCCUCUCCUUCAUCUCUCCUCUCCUCCAUCUCUCCUCUCCUCCAUCUCUCCUCUCCUCCAUCUCUCCACAUAGGCUCUAAGAACAGCAUAUAUCUUCUACACAGACCCUUCUCUCUCUCUCUCUCUCUCUCUCUCUCUCUCUCUCUCUCUCUCUCUCUCUCUCUCUCUCUCUCACUCUCUAUCACUCUUUCCAACCCCCCUCCUCACACCUCCCUUCUUCUUCUCUCUUUGCCUGCUGCUCCCUCACUUGCCCGGUCUCAUUGUCUUCACACACAGCCGGAGUGUUUUAGUGUGAGUGUGUGUACGGCGUAACCAACCUAUUCUGCAGUGGAGCCGCGGAGCACAGGGGGAGCCUGAGUUAUUACAUGUCUUAGUCAGACCAUGCCCCAGUUCACCUUCGCCUGUUUUUGCAGUCUGUACGGCUUCUGCUGGACACGGAGGAAGAAGAAAAAGCAGAAAAGGGAGGAACAGGAUGAGAUGCAGGAGAAACGGAGGGAUCAGGAGACUGAGGUGUGAAGGAAGCCUGGAGAGACUUCACCCUCCUCUUCAUUCUCUCAGAGACUCUGGUGUGGUCACGAUUGUGACGGCAUUCUAAUUCGUCCAGAUCCUUUUCUAGUCUUCACGCUGUGGUGCGUCUCUCCUCCACCUGCAGCAGCUGUUCCAUCAGCAGCUUCACUGGAGUGUAUAGGUAGAGGUCAAAGCUCAAAACAAACGUUCUUUACAAUCUCCUACACCUUUGAGAUACACGUGCACACACACACACGAGCACGCACACACACACACACACACACACACACAUUAAUUAAAGUCCUGUGUAGGUCUAUAAAUGCCAGUGGGGUGUAGGGACACCUAUCACCUGUUUAUGAUGAAAGUAGUGAAUGUGAUUGUGUGUGCACUGAGACUUCAUUGCAGCUGGACCACAGAGAGUUGCAGGACUGCACCUACCAGUUAAGAUAAGCAUAUGCUGCAGAAUGAAUGCCCUUUACACGCGCAUGCAAGCACACAUGCACGCAAACACACACACACGCAGGUCUCAUUAGCCUGUGUAAUUAUGCAUGGCACGUCCAGUUGGCCAGUGGAGAAGUAAUUAACCUUUUCCAGCAGGAAACAGCGAUCUGGACGUCUGACACACUCACAUGCACGCACACACGUCUGGUGUCACGGAAAUAAAGUGUCAAAGACAGGGGCUGGCAUUCAAUGAUAAUCCCCUCACGCAUAUUUCCAUCCAAGGCUUAAAACACUAAUAAUGCCAAAUUACCUCUCCUCUCUCUUUAUCUUCCCUCCUUUCUCUUUCUCCCUCUUUUUGUCCCCAAGUCCUUCUCUGUCUUUUUCUCUGCUUAACUCUCCCUCCCUCCCUCCCUCCCUCCCUCACACCCUCCCUCCCUCCCUCCCUGUCUGUCUGUCUGUCUGUCUGUCUGUCUGACUGACAAACCUCUUUCUCUAUCCCAUUUCCCUGUCUGUCUGUCUCUGGCUACGAAACCUCUUUUCUCCACCAUUCUCCCUGUCUCCCUCUCCUUUCUCCCCUCUCUCAAUCAAUUUGCCCACAUCCCUCUCUCUCUCCUGCUCUUUAUCUCUCAGUAAAACACAUGUUCUCUGGGCAGUGAGCAUGGCCUUGCCUGGCUGGCAGCACCCAUAGAUUAACACCAGCAUUCUGAAUCUCACUCAGGGAGCCCUCUCGCCAAGACCACAAAAGCUGCUUUACAGUUGAAGGAGUAGGAUGCCUGUGUGUGUGUGUGUGUGUGUGUGUGUGUGUGUGUGUGUGUGUGUGUGUGUGUGUGUGUGUGUGUGUGUGUGUGUGUGUGUGUGUGUGUGUGUGUGUGUGUGUGUGUGUGUGUGUGUGUGUGUGUGUGUGUGUGUGUGUGUGUGUGUGCGUGCGCGCGUGUGUGUGUCUGUGUGUGUUUAUACGAAUAGGUGUGUGUGUGUUUAUAAGAAUAGAUUAAGCGAUAGGGUUGAUUGUGUAUUUACUCAUUCUACCAUUGAGGGAAAGUGAAAUGGGAUAACAGUAAGCCAUUUCACAGAGAUGAGCAGAUGUGAGUCACCAUGUUACAGAAAGGCUUUUCAAUGAGAAAGAGAGGGAGAGAGAAAAAGAGAGGGAGAGGGGGAGAGAGAGAACAGUUAAUGAGAGAGGGAUGGAAAUGGAAGAAGGAGCUAAUACUCGGCAGUCAUGCUAAUUGGCUACAUUUGCUAACUCUCUGAGGCGAGAGGAUCCCGGCAUUACACUCUUUUAAUGCUCCCUCCAUCACGUUAAAGAAAGGCUUUGCUUGUAUAAUGAAGAGGAGCUGAAAUGAAUAACAGUUUGUUAUUAUCUGUGGGAGGGUUGUUUUUCACCUGAGUGACUAUGUGCAGACUUCUAUGGAUCAUAUCCAUGCUCACCGAGCCUUACUCAAGGACAAACAGCUAAAAAUAGAGGGGAGUACGCGACUACUAUAAUAGCAGGAGCGAAGGAAGGAAGGGAGCAGGAGAGAGAACGAGUUCUGUCAGAUUAGAUUCGGGUCAGAAAAGAUGGGAAGAGCAAGUGAGGCAGAGGGUGUUUCAUACGGAGGAGAUUAAUCACACUCUCUCCCUUUGUCUCACUAUUGCUUUCUCUCCCUCUCUUUCUUCCUUUCUCUCUCUCUCUCGCAUUCUCUUUGUCCCUCUCUCUCGCUCUCUCUCUACUCAAUACCUCCCUAUCGCACACCUGCAAGAUGGGGAGGGAAGUGGGGAGGAAGAGAGACAAAUAAACUUAAAUAUAGCGGGGUAAAGAGAAAGAGGAAACCCUCCAUUUCACUCCUCAUAACCUUCUCCUCCCUCCUCUCCUCAAAUCAAAUCAAUCAAAUGUAUUUAUAUCAAAUCAAAUUUAUUUAUAUAGCCCUUUGUACAUCAGCUGAUAUCUCAAAGUGCUGUACAGAAACCCAGCCUAAAACCCCAAACAGCAAGCAAUGCAGGUGUAGGAGCACGGUGGCUAGGAAAAACUCCCUAGAAAGGCCAAAACCUAGGAAGAAACCUAGAGAGGAACCAGGUUAUGAGGGGUGGCCAGUUCUCUUCUGACUGUGCCGGGUAGAGAUUAUAACAGAACAUGUUCAAAUGUUCAUAAAUGAUCAGCAUGGUCAAAUAAUAAUAAUUACAGUAGUUGUCGAGGGUGCAGCAAGUCAGCACCUCAGGAGUAAAUGUCAGUUGGCUUUUCAUAGCCAAUCAUAAAGAGUAUCUCUACCGGUCUCUAGAGAGUUGAAAACAGCAGGUCUGGGACAGGUAGCACGUCCGGUGAACAGGUCAGUGUUCAAUCCUCAUCACCUUCUCCUCUCUCCUCUCCUCUCCUCAUCGCCUUCUCCUCUCUCCUCCUCUCCUCAUCGCCUUCUCCUCUCUCCUCCUCUCCUCAUCACCUUCUCCUCUCUCCUCCUCUCCUCUCUCCUCAUCACCUCCUCUCUCCUCCUCUCCUCAUCACCUUCUCCUCUCUCCUCCUCUCCUCAUCACCUUUCUCCUCUCUCCUCCUCUCCUCAUCACCGUCUCCUCCUCUCCUCAACACCGUCUCCUUUCUCCUCCUCUCCUCAUUGCCCUCUCAUCUCUUCCCUAAUUGAGAUUAAAGUGAGCCAUGUACUCUAAUGCUCUAAUUGGGCCUAGGAGAUGGGAACCAAUAGAGAUUGAUAAAGGUGGAUAGAGAUAGUGAUAAAAGAGGAGGGGAAAGAAAAAGAGAGGGAGAGACAGGGAUUGAGGGUUAAGACAAGUGAGAAGCUUUAGUGAUUGAGAGACAGAGAGUGUGAGCACUAUAUUGAGAGAGAGAGAGCUUGUGUAAUUGUGAUGGUAAUAGGUUUUGUCAGGAGCACCUGUUAGGGUCGAGCUGGAGCCGCUCUGGAGCGACGAGGAGAUGGAGGAGAGGAAAGGAAGAGGGUAAUGGAGUCAGGAUCCCUCUGAGGAAAGUCCAAUCCAUGAUAGCGUUACCUGAUUGCCAAUUUGUGUCUGUCUUCAGAUAUCACACACACAAAACACACACACACACACAUGCACUGUGUGGAAUGAUGGAGUUGAUUGGACAGGCUCUUGGUGCCUAACGAGGGGUCCAGGGCAAUCACAGACCAGUUGCUUUGUGACUGGAGGAGAAUGAAGGACGCUACAGCUUGUAUUCUCAUAAUUUCUCGAUGAAAAGGGAGCGCUACACUGAUUGUCUUCCCCCUACUGUGCAUGCACUUGAGUUGUGUUUCAAUCGGGCGUGCUGUACAGAAAUGUAUACUGGAACAGAGAACUUUGAUCAAACUUCUGUGAUUGAGGCUGGAGUCCUAGGGACUCAUCUUUUCUCUGUCUUUCUUCCUCUCUCACUAUUUUUCUCUUCACUCAAUCUCUUGUUUGUCCUGCAUCUCUUUUUCUCUCCUUGCACGCACACACGCACCCAUCGAUUGGAGAGUCGAUAUUGAGCAGUGGCUCUCGUCUAAAUUAAUAUUUGAUUUCUCUGGGGGUUUCAGACUGGAACCCACGGUAUUGAGUUACAAUCUGAGGGAUUGCUCUAAAUGUUGUUUGAUUAAGUUUGUGUGUGUGUGUACGUGUGCGUGUGUGGUGCCUGCCUGCGAUACAACCCCCAACACACACAUUCAUGCACACACUCACACACACUCACAUGACUUGUCUAGAAUGCAUCACUCCCUGCUAAGCCUCUGCCAUUAAAGCUGUUCAUUUAUCAGACA